RNAcentral lists this ribosomal RNA (252 nucleotides) under uncultured bacterium. RNAcentral describes it as "partial 16S ribosomal RNA". It matches the Rfam family "Bacterial small subunit ribosomal RNA", at positions 524 to 776 of the family's 1533-position model. The record is from RNAcentral.
UACGUCGGGUGCGAGCGUUGUCCGGAAUUAUUGGGCGUAAAGAGCUUGUAGGCGGUCUGUCGCGUCUGCUGUGAAAAUCCGGGGCUCAACCCCGGACUUGCAGUGGGUACGGGCAGACUAGAGUGUGGUAGGGGAGACUGGAAUUCCUGGUGUAGCGGUGAAAUGCGCAGAUAUCAGGAGGAACACCGAUGGCGAAGGCAGGUCUCUGGGCCACUACUGACGCUGAGAAGCGAAAGCAUGGGAGCGAACAGG